RNAcentral lists this ribosomal RNA (505 nucleotides) under uncultured bacterium. RNAcentral describes it as "bacterial SSU rRNA". It matches the Rfam family "Bacterial small subunit ribosomal RNA", at positions 30 to 507 of the family's 1533-position model. The record is from RNAcentral.
CGAACGCUGGCGGCGUGCUUAACACAUGCAAGUCGAACGAGACGAUUGAAAGCUUGCUUUGAAAGUCGAGUGGCAAACGGGUGAGUAACGCGUAGGCAACCUGCCUCUAGGAUGGGGACAACAGUCCGAAAGGACUGCUAAUACCGAAUGUUGUAGAGUUUCCGCAUGGGGAUCCUACUAAAGGUGGCCUCUACUUGUAAGCUAUCGCUUUACGAUGGGUCUGCGUCUGAUUAGCUAGUUGGUGGGGUAACGGCCUACCAAGGCGACGAUCAGUAGCCGGUCUGAGAGGAUGAACGGCCACAUUGGAACUGAGACACGGUCCAGACUCCUACGGGAGGCAGCAGUGGGGAAUCUUCCGCAAUGGGCGCAAGCCUGACGGAGCAACGCCGCGUGAGUGAAGAAGGGUUUCGACUCGUAAAGCUCUGUUGUCGGGGACGAAUGUCAGGACUCAGAAUAUGGGUUCUGAAUGACGGUACCUGACGAGGAAGCCACGGCUAACUACGUG